AGGAGUGUAGCUCAACUGGCAGAGCACCGGUCUCCAAAACCGGGGGUUGAGGGUUCAAGUCCUUCCACUCCUG
Molecule: transfer RNA, 73 nt
Filed under: Fidelibacterota bacterium
Lineage: Bacteria; Pseudomonadati; Fidelibacterota
Description: tRNA-Trp
Rfam family: tRNA
About the family: Transfer RNA (tRNA) molecules are approximately 80 nucleotides in length.
Source: RNAcentral